UAGCUCAUACAUACAGGCCAAGUUUGGAAAGCUACCCAUUCCUGCUUUAAGUGUUCCCUAUCUUGGAACAGCAGAGCAAAGAACUGGUUUGUACAUCAACAACACAGUGUGGUGACUGAACUUUCAGCAACAACUUCUAAAUGCCACCCUAGUUCUGGCUCCGGCAACCUGAAGAAGCCUGGAGGUGCUGUGCUGUAAACGACGGAAGGUCACCCUGAUGGAUGCUGGGAUGUCGGGUGGCAAAGUGGACGGUGGCGGCAGCGGGGCUGCCGUCUCGCUGCGGUCUGAGACCAGGGAAGGCGUGGCACAAAGAGAGGAAGAGCAGGAAGAAGAAGGGGAUGAAGAUCUCCGAGAUGGUGGGAUCCCCUUCUUUGUGAACCGAGGGGGGCUUCCUAUCAAUGAGGCCACCUGGGAACGGAUGUGGAAACAUGUGGCCAAGAUCCAUCCUGAGGGAGAAGGAGUCGCUCUGCGGAUCCGGGGAGCCACGGACCUACCGAAGAUUCCCAUACCAAGUGUGCCUAUGCUCCAGCCGUCCACUCCUAUCCCUGAGCGCCUGGAAGCGAUACAGCGCUACAUCAGGGAGCUUCAGUACAAUCAUACUGGGACACAGUUCUUUGAAAUCAAGAAGAGCAGGCCUUUGACUGGGCUGAUGGAUCUGGCCAAAGAAAUGACGAAAGAGGCCCUGCCAAUCAAGUGUCUGGAGGCUGUGAUCCUGGGAAUGUAUCCUUUCAUCUUAGAACAUUACCUCACCAACAACAUGCCAACACUGGAGCGUUUCCCCAUCAGCUUCAAAACCUACUUCUCAGGGAACUACUUCCGCCAUAUUGUGCUGGGAGUGAACUUUGGGGGCCGCUAUGGGGCACUGGGCAUUAGUCGGCGUGAGGAUCUCAUGUACAAGGCACCCACCUUCCGGACACUGAGCGAACUGAUCUUUGACUAUGAGGAGGCGUACCGCCGCUGCUGGCACACCCUAAAAAAGGUGAAGCUCGGCCAGUGUGUGUCUCACGACCCGCACAGCGUGGAGCAGAUCGAGUGGAAGCAUUCCAUCUUGGAUGCGGAGAAGCUGGGCCGUGAGGAAUUCCGCAAGGAGCUUGAGAGGCGUUCCCGUGACAUGAGGCUAAAGAUAAGUAAAGGAACAGGGCCACCAUCACCCACCAAGGAUAGGAAGAAGGACGUCUCAUCCCCACAGCGAAGCCAGUCCAGUCCGCAUCGUCGCAACAGCCGGACUGAGAGGCGGCCUUCUGGAGAGAAGAAACCUACUGAGCCCAAAGCCAUGCCAGAUUUGAACGGCUAUCAAAUCAGAGUGUAAAAAGUCUGUUGCCGUGUGUUGGGCCAUGGGUUAGGCAGCAUUCGGACUGAUUCUGUCAGCAGGGUGCACAGUGUGGAAGGAAAAACGGGGUGGGAAGUACUGGCUUUCUGAAAGGUACUUCUUCCUGCCAUGUUGCCCACCCCGAACAGUGUUCUUCUGGUGAGAGGGUAUCCUCUUCUCUGAAUACAUGGGGAGAAUUGUUUAAAACCAGGAACUAAACAGAUUUCUUAAGUAGCAGAUCUGCCAGUUGGUUCAGUGUUGUACAGUAAUGAUAGUGAAAGGAAACUUUCACAGAGUAACAGUGAGGCUACUGUCCAUGCAGCUCAUGGGCUCAUGAAGAGCUGGGUUAAAUUUUAUGGCCUUUUCAUGGGCAUUUCUUUCUUUCCUUUGCUUCUGAAGGACUCGAGCUAGCAUGAGCCUUGUGAGGGGGAGGUGGUGGGAAGCUGGGCGGGGCUAGAAUUAAAAACAAAACAAAACUCCUCACCCUGUGGAAGAUUUUCUGAACUUGUACCUUUGGAGAAUUUUAAUAUUUUUACUAAGAUGGAGGAGAUAUCUUUGCAACUGCCCUAAAAUCACCAACUUGAUCCUUGUGCUUCUGUUUCAUGUGGUGGCGUGCCUUGCGUGUCAUGCAAUUCCUGCAGCAAGCUGGUGGGUUUGAGCUGCGGGAAGUGAGCCUUUGUAGGAGACCCUCCGGAGCAGAGCCUUCUGACUAGACACUGUAAUCCGGGCUGCAGAGACUCAGGCCCUGAAGGGGGCCAAAUCAGGUCAUGGCCACAUGCCCUUUCCUCCAGCCACCAACUGUUCGGUAUUUCCCUGCUUUUGGGCAGUUUUUUCUCCAUUCUAAAACUUUGACAUGUCUCUCUUAAGACUUAGUUAUUGGCAAUAAAAAAACCCUAAAAUAUCCUGAUAUUUUAGGCAUUUUGAUCACAACCUGUUUGCCUGCAGCCUCACCCACCCUGGGAAUGCAGCUCCCAAGAACUUCUCUGGAAUGGAGUGGCACUCUUGGACUGAAAGAGGUUCUGUGCUCCUGCCAUAAGCAUUUCUUCUUUUUGGUGGAAAAUGUGUCUUCUUCAUUUUCUAGCAACACAACUCCUGCUCCUUCUCGCUACCAAGGCGAGUGUUCAUUCAUGUGAUAUGCAGAUCACAUUUGAAGGAUUCCUAGGACAUGGUUCAGAGUCUUUUAGUAGUAUAGUGUGUGGGUAUUAGUACAUGAAGGGGGCUCAGGCCAUACCACGUCUUGGUAUUUCUCUUUUGGGCCUCUACUUCUAGCUUUGCAAAAUGCUUAGAAGUUGGGCGGUUUAUAUAAUUGCCAAGGAAGGUGCCCCGAAAAAUACAGUCUGGAAUUGCAGAGGGGCAAAGCUAAAAUAUAAAGUGGGUUAGUUUGGCUGCAUGAAACCUGCUCUGUAACAAGGAAUGUGGGGUGGGGGGGUCUUCCCAGCAGGUAAAGAAAAUGGAGAGGCUGUUGUGAAGAAUCAUAGUCUUCCUCAUUCUGGUCUAUUGGCUCACUGUUGUUGGGACCAAUUGGCUACAUUGUUCUACAAUGGCUGGGGAAGCUGAAGGGAUCCUGUAUUAUGGAAAAGGGACUUUAAAAGAAGUGUGCAGAAGACAGACUGGGAUCUGCUGAUGCCAAGUCCUGCAACAGAAACAGGAAGAGCAAAGGUGAUACUCAUGAGCUGGUGAUGAUCUGUUGGUUGUUGAGAUUAGCCUUAAGUUUGGGCCAUGCUUUAGAUCUGGAAAAGCUUGAACCAGGCUCUAGAUUGAAUGCAAAGAAAGAUGUUGAAGAAUGGAUGCCGGUCACUGAGUUGAGCCCUUGAAGUGAACUAAUCACUGGCACGAGGAGUCUCUCUUCAAAAGGAUGCCAUUAUAAAGCAGCUGAACCUUGUUGUUGUUAGUGGUGAUCAACCACAACUAAUAAAGGAAACAUAAAACACAAUUAGAACAUGAGUUUUUGCCUAGUGUGUAACGGGUCCUGCCUGUUUCAGAAAAGAAAAGAGAAAGAGUGGUCUAGCUAUAGGCAGAGAGAAGAAGUUGGCUGGAAAGUUGUAAAGGCAGAGUCACAACUAGUAGUAGUGUUGAGGACCAGGGCUACUUAGUGCAGGAAAAAAUUAGUUUAAGAAUCUUACGGAGAAGAAAUGUGGCAACUGUUCACAUGCUGCGCUGAACUUUUAAAACUAAAGGGAGGCAAACGGUGGCCCUCCCUCUAGUUUUAAAACUGUUUUAGGAAAAAGAGUGCCCCGAUUGUAGUAGAAUUCACUGACAGAAUAGGCAAAUGCAGGAAUGUAUAGAAUCCCCUUCCCUAAAUGCUUUCCCCUGCCAUGAGGUCAGCCAAGCUUGUGGAGGGCCACGAGUUGCCCAUGUAAGUCACCGUUCCCUCACAGUAACAGCAGAGAACUGCAUUCAUUAAACCCACAUUGUGUCUGGGCACUUGCGUGUACUACUUCAAAGUGAACCCUCUGUCUUAGAGGUGAGUUUCGUCCAGAAUACCUCAAAAAUGUAACGACACUGAAUAUAUUAAAACUGAGAGGGGGUUGUGCACUGCUGCAGUUUACUUCACAGUUCCAGGUUGUGCUGAGAAAGCUGAUGAUGCGUCAGUAAGGAUGGACUGGAGAACUGAAUAGUAUGAUCAGCAGCCCCGUGUGCAGAGGGGGAAUUGAAUGUUCAAAUGCAUCCGUACCUACGCUUGAAAAUUAGCUUAUCAGCAAGAAGGUUGCUCCAUCUUCCCUUUGAAGGACUAAGCCUGACCAUGAGCGAAGUGUGUAUGGUAUUCUACUGCCACGAGCAGAAGCAUCACAGAGGAGCAGUGCAGACAGCAGUGCUGGGGGGAAAUCAGGUGUCUGAAGAGGAUGUCAGGAACAAGCUGGUGCUAAUGGGACAUGUGGGUUUGCUUCCAACACAAAUGGGUAUCUCUGUCACUGGAAUAUUCUUGCUCGAGUGUCUGAAUUUGUGUGCAUUUGGAGUCUCUUGUGUGGCUGAAAUACCAAUAGGAAAAAUAGGAAGAGACUGGAAGAGGGCAGACAUAGUCAUGCUUCCCACAACCUUGAAAGGAAAGGAAGGAGCUGCACACACUGUAGUAGCAUGGCAGGAACAAAAAGCUUCACCUCUGAGUAGCCUGCAAGGAGAAGUGUGGUGAAAGGGUGGUAUGAAGUACAGGUUUUUUCUCCCAUGAUUAUUUCUAUUGGUGAAAUGCUGCUCCCUCCAAAGCUAACACAGCAGUUGAUGCAAUGGUGUUUUAAACUGAGCUGUGACUUCACUUGCACUGUAGUUGUGUCAGUAUUAGCAGGUCUACUUUAUAACAAGGCAAAUGUUGUGUGUCCACUAUAUUUGCUGUUGGUUUUUUGACCUUCCUUUUGACUUCACAUGGCCAACUAGUUACCUGUUUCUGUGGUGUAAUGUCCAUUCUCACUGUCUGUACAUCUGCCUGGUCAAUAUCUCCGUUCGUGCCUGUCCCAUUCUUGAGUAUCAAUCAGCCUGCAUCAUGAAUGGACAAACUCACUGGAUCUGGUCAGUGCAGCCAACCCUGAUUCAGGGGAACUUCAUCUCUGCUAACGCAGUGCUGAGCUCCUGCCUGUUCUGCCUUCGCACGCAGCCUUGUGUCAGAGAAGUCCUGUGUGCUGCAGAAGUGCUGGAGAAGGUCUUGGGACAUACAUGCUGGACCAAUGGGGUACUGCCUUUCACGAACUGUAUAUCACAAUAUACCUCCCUGUAGCUGCCUACUGUGGGGAAACGUGUGUUCUGAUUGGGCAGCUUUCAUGCUGUUGCUGAUUUCUCAUUGAGGGACCUCUGCUAACCCUGAGGUUCCUUGGAACAGUUUUCAGAUUUUUAAACCUGCCUUAGAGGGCUACAGAGACCCAUUGUAUCUAUUGCCCCCAGCCUUCUGUGCAGGGCUAGGUUUACAUUUGCCCUCUGUUGAGAUAUAUACAAGGAAUUUGUGACUCAUUUCCUUGUCAUUGGCUGCUGUUCCUGCCCUGUUCAUAGGCCAGAAAGUCAGCUAAGCUGGGCUCCUCAGGGAAUUCUCAAUGAAGCAUGAUCUCAGUAGCAGAUGUCUCAUUUAUCCAUCAACCACCCCCCCCCCAUUCGUUGACCACCUGGCUCAAACAACUCUGACUGCCUCCAAGCUCUGUGGAGCAGAAAUUCUCUGCCUGAUUUGUCAGGAACAAGAUGGUGCUAAUGGGACUUGUGGGUUUGCUUCCAACACAAGCAGUAUUAAAUGCUGGUUUUAGCAGCUAGAUUUUGUUUUCAGAGCCAUUAGCAUAAAAGUAUUGUAUUGAAAACAGCUGGUUUUCUUUCUUGGCCUAUCAUGUGUGUCUUUUGUGUAAACUGGUGCCACUUGUGGAUCUGUGACCUUAAGUAGACACCACACAGACCUUUCUUAGAUUUAGUUUUUCUUGCUUCCCAGUUCUGUAUUUCUCCCCAAUUCUUUUUCAGAGUAAAACAACCAACCAACCAAA
Varanus komodoensis (Komodo dragon) is the source of this 5757-nucleotide RNA transcript. It is a transcript of the gene named vasohibin 1, with no coding region annotated. Lineage: Eukaryota; Metazoa; Chordata; Lepidosauria; Squamata; Varanidae. The transcript is spliced from 10 exons. The record is from RefSeq and is a predicted model, not a curated record.